This 2028-nucleotide long non-coding RNA is filed under the name Salmo salar (Atlantic salmon). Its description in RNAcentral is "lncRNA (ENSSSAG00000089951.1)". Lineage: Eukaryota; Metazoa; Chordata; Actinopteri; Salmoniformes; Salmonidae. The record is from RNAcentral.
UUUUAAAUCAAAUUUUUUGCAUGGCACCCAUGUCUCAUAGCUUUUUGAUUCCUGAUAAAUCCUGCUUCCUAUCUGUCUGUCUCCGGCUGGGUACAAAAGAGAGGUCUGAACAAUCCAAAUCAAAUAGAGAUGAUGAAUGUCAAAUGGUUAGUAGAGAUCUGGGUAAGUGGCACUGGUGCUGGCACAUUUGCACUGUUCCAUUCCAUACCUGGCUUUGUCGCACUGCGGCCAUGCAACCACAGCCAGGAAUAUUCUGAUGUGUUAGGGAACGAUGUAGUUGGCACCGUUAAUGCUAGCUGACCGUGGCAUGCUCCAUUACACUGGCAUCCCAUUCGCCAUGGCAUCCCGUUCACCCAGGCAGAUUUAUACAGCUCCUUGCCACGAUUUUCUAAAUUGCUGUUGCUGUCUGGGCUAAGUUGGGCUAACCUAUCCUCUCCUCUCGCCACAGCCUCAGUGCUGCAUGCUGGCCAGGAGGAGACGAGAGGAGGACUGCCCCUGCAUGUGUCUCUGUGGGAAGAGAAUAGACGGGGAGAGAUCUUCUCCACAACAUUUUUAUUCUCACUGAAAAAUGGACUUCCAUGCACAUUUCAUAUCUAGAGGGAACUGCUGAAGCAUGUGAUGCUUAUGAGCGGCUGCAACUGUAAAUGGAAUCUGCUUUAGAAUGGACAGAAUACUAUUGCAAUACAAUUGCCGAGAGGAAGAGAGUGAGAAAUGACCAUGGGUGACUACUUACCCUUAAAGGCACACGAUCAACAAGGCUCCUAAUGGACCUUUCCUGCCAUUAGACCCAAGGUCAGUCUGCCUUUAGAGGCACAAAACCUUCAAUUAGUGUUAGGUUGAAAAGUGGUGUAUUUUUAGAUGGUUGUCAUCCACUCUGGUAGGGUGGGAGGAAUGACCAAACUGCAUCAAUCACACAGGGGAUCUGUAAUGUUAGACAUCCACUGUAUACUAUCACUCCAACCACAAAAAAUAACACAGCAAACAAAGGCUUUCCCCCUUGUUCUUUCACUAUCCAUGAGUAUAUAGUAUAUUAAAUGUAUAACUGAUUUAUCUGCAGAAGGAAUACAGUGAAUGCACAUUUCUUUAUACUUUUUUAAAAUCCAUGAUAUGUUUUGCUAUCAUGAAUAGAUCUAAUUUCAUUAUUAUUUUGUUAGAACAACCAUUCACCAUUUACUGCAGGUGCUGGAUCUCGCAGCAAGUGAAUGUCUUUCAUAACCUAAUUCUGUCAAGCCAUUCUGCUAUUGCUGAAGUUCAAUUUUCUCACCAAGACACUUGUGUGGUGGAACUUAUUUCACACAAUACCAGUUUCCCCUGGUUUCACAUUGCUCCCUGAGCCAUUUCUGUGUUUUUGUAGCCUCCAUCAGUCAGCCCAGGCAACACUCUCUCCAGUGCAGGCCAGGCAACACUCUCUCCAAUGAAGGCCAGAGAACACUCUCUCCAGUGCAGGCCAGGCAACACUCUCUCCAGUGCAGGCCAGGCAACACUCUCUCCAGUGCAGGCCAUGCAUCACUCUCUCCAGUGCAGGCCAGGCAACACUCUCUCCAGUGCAGGCCAGGCAACACUCUCUCCAGUGCAGGCCAGGCAACACUCUCUCCAGUGCAGGCCAGGCAUCACUCUCUCCAGUGCAGGCCAGGCAACACUCUCUCCAGUGCAGGCCAGGCAACACUCUCUCCAGUGAAGGCAAGGGCCUUGACCACCAUUCUCCUGAAGGAAAUGGAUGAAUAUCACAAUCUCUCCAGGACCAGCUGCAUUAGCAAAAGCAUUGUUGACCUCUUGCUGUCAUAGUUGUAGAAUAGUUGACAAUUUUAAACAUAUUUUGAAGUGUUUUUUUAGCCUCCACGUGUGCAUAAAAAAAUAAACCCCAUUGUAAUAAGUAUAUUGAGAGUAUUUUCAGUGAGUUAUUGUUGGAUAUAAUCCCCAUACACAUAUACUGAAUUAAAAUAUAAACGCAGCAUGCAGCAAUUUCAAAGACUUUACUGAGUUACAGUUCAUAUAAGGAAAUCAGCAGUUGUACUUAAGUAAAAAUAA